This 71-nucleotide transfer RNA is filed under the name Takydromus tachydromoides. Its description in RNAcentral is "tRNA-Gln". It matches the Rfam family "tRNA". Rfam says of the family: Transfer RNA (tRNA) molecules are approximately 80 nucleotides in length. Their secondary structure includes four short double-helical elements and three loops (D, anti-codon, and T loops). The record is from RNAcentral. Lineage: Eukaryota; Metazoa; Chordata; Lepidosauria; Squamata; Lacertidae.
UAGGAGGUAGUAUAGAGGAAGUACGGGGAUUUUUGAAGUCCCAGGUGUGGGUUCAAACCCCAUUUUUCUAG